UGCGUAGGCGGAAAAUUAAGUCAGUGGUGAAAUCCUGCAGCUCAACUGUAGAACUGUCAUUGAUACUGAUUUUCUUGAAUGUAGUUGAGGUAGGCGGAAUGUGUAAUGUAGCGGUGAAAUGCUUAGAUAUUACACAGAACACCGAUUGCGAAGGCAGCUUACUAAACUAUGAUUGACGCUGAGGCACGAAAGCGUGGGGAGCGAACAGGAUUAGAUACCCUGGUAGUCC
This 229-nucleotide ribosomal RNA is filed under the name uncultured bacterium. RNAcentral describes it as "partial 16S ribosomal RNA". It matches the Rfam family "Bacterial small subunit ribosomal RNA", at positions 568 to 796 of the family's 1533-position model. The record is from RNAcentral.